GGAACUGUUCCGGUCGUGGGGCGCGCGGGCGGCGGCGGCGGCUGCAGUGCCCACGGGGCGGGGCCGGCGGAGGGAGAGGUGGGGGGGCGCCCUGUGGCCCCGCCCUGGCCUCCGCGCGCCCCGCCCGCAGCCCAGGACACCCCGGGCGCGGGGCCCCGCGCAGGGGAGUGGACAAGCGGGGGAGACCUGGUUACUCAGAGCGGGGGUGACCCCCUCCCCAUUCGGGAAGUGAGGGCCCCCUACCCGCCCCUAACGACCCCAGGCGGCCCCGAAGGGAGCAAGUGAUCCCCUCCCUGUUCAGAAGGGUACAGAACAUCUCAGAAGCGGGGAAAAUCCCUGAGUCAGAUUCCUGCAUUCCACCCUGCACACCCUACCCCCAUACCGGCGAGCUCCAACCCAGCGCGCUCUCCUCACCCUUGCAAGAGUCAGGGCCCCUCCUCCCCGGGCAUCCGGUCACCUUAGGGCCACCUACCUGGCUCAGACAGACACAGCGCAGCUGGAGGCUUGGAGGUGUCCUGUUUUCUACCCGCCAGUGCAGCGUGUGGACCCUGGGCCUGGGCACACGGGAGGCUCUUCUUGGGCAGCAAAGGGAUGCUGGAGCUGCUGCAGCCAUUUUGGCACUUUGAGGGCCACCUUCCUUGGCUCAAAAUGAAAAUUUCCGUCAUCUUUUGCAGAUGCUCUGAGAGCAUCAAGAAGCUCUAAGCUCCAGAAUAAAAAUUAAAUUAAUUGAAGAAA
Molecule: long non-coding RNA, 735 nt
Filed under: Zalophus californianus (California sea lion)
Lineage: Eukaryota; Metazoa; Chordata; Mammalia; Carnivora; Otariidae
Description: lncRNA (ENSZCAG00015020234.1)
Source: RNAcentral